CAAGUGUACUGACAUGAUUGUCUACUUAUUUUUCAGAUCUUAAAAUAUGAAUUGCAUUUAAUUGAUUGAUCUGGGCUCCUUGUUGUGGUCUUUGAUUGUUCUGGGUUCUAGGAUUAGCCUCAGAUGGACUCGGUAGUUUAUCUUUUUCUCUUUCACUUACAAUCCUGGUUAAUUGACCUAAUUGCAUCUCUAAAUAGGU
RNAcentral lists this long non-coding RNA (199 nucleotides) under Elaeis guineensis (African oil palm). RNAcentral's name for it is "long non-coding RNA (EGUI_LNC036913)". Lineage: Eukaryota; Viridiplantae; Streptophyta; Magnoliopsida; Arecales; Arecaceae. The record is from RNAcentral.